Molecule: transfer RNA, 68 nt
Filed under: Upupa epops (Eurasian hoopoe)
Lineage: Eukaryota; Metazoa; Chordata; Aves; Bucerotiformes; Upupidae
Description: tRNA-Glu
Source: RNAcentral
GUUUUUGUAGUUGAAAUACAACAGUGAUUUUUCAGGUCACAAGUCUUGGAUGAGGCCAAGCAAGAACU